Molecule: microRNA precursor, 195 nt
Filed under: Oryza brachyantha (malo sina)
Lineage: Eukaryota; Viridiplantae; Streptophyta; Magnoliopsida; Poales; Poaceae
Description: MIR812 microRNA precursor family
Rfam family: MIR812 microRNA precursor family
Source: Rfam by way of RNAcentral
AAUAAACUAAUCUUUCACUUUUUAUCUUUAAUUUUUAACUUUUCGUCUUAUUUAAAUUUUUUGUGAUUGAUAUUUUGUUUUUUAUUAGAUGAUAAAUCAUAAAUAGUAUUUUACGUAUGACUAAUUUUUUUUUUAAUUUUUUGAAAAUUUUUCAAAAUAAGACGGAUGGUCAAACGUUGGACGCGGAAACCGAAG